CAGCCUAAACAUGCAAGUCGAAGCGGAAACGAUGGAAGCUUGCUCCAGGCGUCGAGCGGCGGACGGGUGAGUAAUGCAUAGGAAUCUGCCCGGUAGUGGGGGAUAACCUGGGGAAACCCAGGCUAAUACCGCAUACGUCCUACGGGAGAAAGCAGGGGAUCUUCGGACCUUGCGCUAUCGGAUGAGCCUAUGUCGGAUUAGCUUGUUGGUGAGGUAAUGGCUCACCAAGGCGACGAUCCGUAGCUGGUCUGAGAGGAUGAUCAGCCACAUCGGGACUGAGACACGGCCCGAACUCCUACGGGAGGCAGCAGUGGGGAAUAUUGGACAAUGGGCGAAAGCCUGAUCCAGCCAUGCCGCGUGUGUGAAGAAGGCUUUCGGGUUGUAAAGCACUUUCAGUGAGGAAGAAGGCCUUGGGGCUAAUACCCCCGAGGAAGGACAUCACUCACAGAAGAAGCACCGGCUAACUCCGUGCCAGCAGCCGCGGUAAUACGGAGGGUGCGAGCGUUAAUCGGAAUUACUGGGCGUAAAGCGCGCGUAGGCGGCGUGAUAAGCCGGUUGUGAAAGCCCCGGGCUCAACCUGGGAACGGCAUCCGGAACUGUCAGGCUAGAGUGCAGGAGAGGAAGGUAGAAUUCCCGGUGUAGCGGUGAAAUGCGUAGAGAUCGGGAGGAAUACCAGUGGCGAAGGCGGCCUUCUGGACUGACACUGACGCUGAGGUGCGAAAGCGUGGGUAGCAAACAGGAUUAGAUACCCUGGUAGUCCACGCCGUAAACGAUGUCGACUAGCCGUUGGGGUCCUUGAGACCUUUGUGGCGCAGUUAACGCGAUAAGUCGACCGCCUGGGGAGUACGGCCGCAAGGUUAAAACUCAAAUGAAUUGACGGGGGCCCGCACAAGCGGUGGAACAUGUGGUUUAAUUCGAUGCAACGCGAAGAACCUUACCUACCCUUGACAUCGUGCGAACUUUCCAAAAAUGGAUUGGUGCCUUCGGGAACGCACAAACAGGUGCUGCAUGGCUGUCGUCAGCUCGGGUUGUGAAAUGUUGGGUUAAGUCCCGUAACGAGCGCAACCCUUGUCCCUAUUUGCCAGCGAUUCGGUCGGGAACUCUAGGGAGACUGCCGGUGACAAACCGGAGGAAGGUGGGGACAACUCCAGUCAUCAUGGCCCUUACGGUAAGGGGUACCACCUGCUCCAAUGGCCGGUUCAAAGGUUGGCAAACCCCCAGGGGGAGCUAAUCCCCGAAAGACGGGUCCUUUCCGGAAGGGAAUUGGUACCCUUCUCCCCGGAAAGGGAA
RNAcentral lists this ribosomal RNA (1290 nucleotides) under Halomonas sp. MN12. RNAcentral's name for it is "bacterial SSU rRNA". It matches the Rfam family "Bacterial small subunit ribosomal RNA", at positions 43 to 1331 of the family's 1533-position model. Lineage: Bacteria; Pseudomonadati; Pseudomonadota; Gammaproteobacteria; Oceanospirillales; Halomonadaceae. The record is from RNAcentral.